GGAAUUGUGACUCAGUGGUAGAGUGUUCAGCUAGCAAAUGAGAGGAACUGGGUUCGAUCCUCAGCACCA
RNAcentral lists this transfer RNA (69 nucleotides) under Ictidomys tridecemlineatus (thirteen-lined ground squirrel). RNAcentral describes it as "Spermophilus tridecemlineatus (thirteen-lined ground squirrel) tRNA". It matches the Rfam family "tRNA". From Rfam's summary of the family: Transfer RNA (tRNA) molecules are approximately 80 nucleotides in length. Their secondary structure includes four short double-helical elements and three loops (D, anti-codon, and T loops). Lineage: Eukaryota; Metazoa; Chordata; Mammalia; Rodentia; Sciuridae. The record is from Rfam by way of RNAcentral.